RNAcentral lists this non-coding RNA (30 nucleotides) under Rattus norvegicus (Norway rat). Lineage: Eukaryota; Metazoa; Chordata; Mammalia; Rodentia; Muridae. The record is from RNAcentral.
UAUCCUGGGAGAACUUCGAUGCCACGGGGU